Molecule: long non-coding RNA, 738 nt
Organism: Nicotiana tabacum (common tobacco)
Lineage: Eukaryota; Viridiplantae; Streptophyta; Magnoliopsida; Solanales; Solanaceae
Source: RefSeq, a predicted model, not a curated record
AAUCAAUUUAAUUACAUCGAAUAGUUUGAGAUUUCAUUAAGUUGUAUAGUUUUGUCACUAUUUCGAUGUUUUCUUUCUAAGAGGAAUUUGAGAUGAUUUUUUCUUUAAGAUUAAUUUGAGCUGAAUUUUUUCAGGGAACCUGAUUGCUUUUUGAAUUUUUAGUCUAGCUCCUUAUCACAGGCUUUUGAAAGUGGAAGUCGCUUAAGGUGGGGAAAAGGGAAAACUGCUUCGACUAUAAGAGGUAUUCAACAUCUUUUGUCUCCAAAAAUGAGGUUCCAGGCUUCCAGCUGACCAGUAUGCACUUGGAAUUGCUGCUUGAAGAUGGGGAGACAAUUUUCAUUGAGAAAUUUUAUUGACAUCUCAGCGAUGAUUUCCCUAAGGAUACCAAAAAGGGAGCUUUCAUUGGCAAUCCGCAAUGCAUUUAGGUAAGGUUUUUGCAUUUGAUUCUUACUACUUGGUUGAUCUAGACUUUCUAAUCCUGUAGAGAUGCAGAUUAUGAAAUGAUGGAAGAAAUGUAAAAUGCUUAUGAAUCUAUUGCUGAAUGGCUUUAAAGUUGAAAUGUCUGUAAUUUAGUGCUUUAUUGCUUGUGCCGGAAGAUCUUGAUUUACCAAUAUCUUCUUCUGUAUCUGGAUGAAAUGCCUUCUGCUAUUAUAUAGAGCAUUUGACUUUUUUCUAUUAUAGUAGUAACUUGUGAGAGGAACGAAUAUGUGGUAUUGCAAACUUUACUAAAUACUAAAU